UGCCAGCCGCCGCGGUAAUACGUAGGGUGCAAGCGUUAAUCGGAAUUACUGGGCGUAAAGCGUGCGCAGGCGGUUAUGUAAGACAGUUGUGAAAUCCCCGGGCUCAACCUGGGAAUUGCAUCUGUGACUGCAUAGCUAGAGUACGGUAGAGGGGGAUGGAAUUCCGCGUGUAGCAGUGAAAUGCGUAGAUAUGCGGAGGAACACCGAUGGCGAAGGCGAUCCCCUGGACCUGUACUGACGCUCAUGCACGAAAGCGUGGGGAGCAAACAGGAUUAGAUA
RNAcentral lists this ribosomal RNA (279 nucleotides) under uncultured bacterium. RNAcentral's name for it is "partial 16S ribosomal RNA". It matches the Rfam family "Bacterial small subunit ribosomal RNA", at positions 506 to 784 of the family's 1533-position model. The record is from RNAcentral.